RNAcentral lists this ribosomal RNA (253 nucleotides) under uncultured bacterium. RNAcentral's name for it is "partial 16S ribosomal RNA". It matches the Rfam family "Bacterial small subunit ribosomal RNA", at positions 524 to 776 of the family's 1533-position model. The record is from RNAcentral.
GACGUAGGGCGCAAGCGUUGUCCGGAUUUAUUGGGCGUAAAGAGCUCGUAGGCGGCUUGUUGCGUCGUCCGUGAAAACCCGCAGCUCAACUGCGGGCUUGCGGACGAUACGGGCAGGCUGGAGUUCGGUAGGGGAGACUGGAAUUCCUGGUGUAGCGGUGAAAUGCGCAGAUAUCAGGAGGAACACCGGUGGCGAAGGCGGGUCUCUGGGCCAUAACUGACGCUGAGGAGCGAAAGCGUGGGGAGCGAACAGG